AUGUUUUGCUUCUCUCACACGCGCGGCCCGGGUGCACAUCCUUCUAAUACAUCACAAGUUCCAAGCCAAACUUCAAAAAACCAGCAAAUUAUAAUUUUUGGAAACAUAUCGAACAUCAAUCUUAUUUCGAAUAUCUUGUCAAGACAUAAAUUACAGGAAAAACAGAUCUUAAAUCAAUCAUUCAGUUCAAAAUAUAUGAACCAUUUUAUGUUUGGCCAGAAAAACAAACAUACAGAUCUUUUGAUGGGAGUUAGUGCUGUGGAGUGCGGGUUAGUUUGUAGAAAGUGCAAGGUUGCCUUUGCAAAAAAGGCAUAG
Molecule: ribosomal RNA, 315 nt
Filed under: Triticum aestivum (bread wheat)
Lineage: Eukaryota; Viridiplantae; Streptophyta; Magnoliopsida; Poales; Poaceae
Description: partial small subunit ribosomal RNA
Source: RNAcentral